This is a long non-coding RNA of Vicugna pacos (alpaca), 1356 nucleotides long. RefSeq lists it as uncharacterized. Lineage: Eukaryota; Metazoa; Chordata; Mammalia; Artiodactyla; Camelidae. The record is from RefSeq and is a predicted model, not a curated record.
CCAUGGUCCCCGGUCUGGGGACAGGGCCCCGCCAGACCCCGGGCCAGAACCUUGACACCUGCGUGGCAGGGGCUCCGGCGGGAGACCCACGGCCACCGUGACCCAGCCUCCGGACCCAAGCUCAGAAAGAAUAAGCAAGUCACUGUUCCGGCACCUGUCUGUACUCAGCCUGUUCUCAGUUCCCUCUCCUCUGGCUGCGCUGGCUCCCUAGCUGUUCGUCAAAGGCAAGGAGCAGCGCCUGCAAGUGCUAAUGCCUUCACUGAAAAGCUGCUCCCCAGAAGUCUGCUCCCUGGCCCCCUAAGGGCCCUUCUUCCCUGACUGCACAUCUGUGUCCUCUCCCUUCACUCUAAACCCCUCAGCUUCAGUUACUCUUGGACACAGCUUUAUCAUCCUCGGCACAUGUUUAUUUGUUGUGUCUGUUGCCACCCACAGACACAAGCACACAGAAUGUCAGCUCCCAGGAUCUGGGCUCUGCAGGGCUCACUGCCGAGUCCUCAAGUCCUCAGCAUGCAGAGGUGCCUGGCCUUAACGAGAAUCAGUAAAUACUGAGUUAAUUAAAGCAGCCAAGCUUGUGAUGAGAUGGCGAACACUGGUGGUAUCCAACUAGCGGCUCUCGUCAGCUGAAGGCACAAAAUGCGGUGCUGUGAGCAACCUGUACAGACGCCCCCAGAGGAAUGUAUGAUUUCAGUUGGACAGUUUGAGGUUUUGAAAUGGUUAUCAAACUCCACCCCCACCCCCCACAAGCACCCUCAAGGACCCCUAGGGGUCCAGGAGCUCAACUGGAGGCAGCUGGGCUAGGUGAGCCUUACUUUGCAAAGCUGGGAUUCCACAUUUCUGUGGCAGGGUGAUCUCUGGGGUAAAGGGGUCUUACCGUCGUCACCAUCAUAAUCCAGACCGCAGACAGUUACUUCUGGAAGGCAGUUGAGCGUGAGCCCAAAAACCCAGGGAGUUCUGGGCUGGCAAUGUAGAUUUGGAAGCUGUUUCCAGUACCAGUCUCACCAUCUACCCCAUGUAAGCUUAACUCUAGGGCUGCAGUGAGCAACAUGGAAACCACUGGCCAGUGUGGCUAUUGAACAUCUGAAAUGUGGCCAGUGCAACUGGAUUUUAAUUUUACUUAGUUUUAACUUAAAAACAGAAACAGUGUAAGCUAUUUCCCCAUUGAACACAAAUUUAUUGCUGUAUUAUGCUGUUGAAAAUUUAGCAUCUAAAUUCAGAGGUGUAAAAUGCACACCAGAGUUUUAAAACUCGUACACAAAAAAAGGUAAAACAUCUCAUUAAUAAUUUUUAUAUUGAUUUUUAUAUUGACAUGAUAAUAUUUUGGAUAUAUUGAUUCAAAUAAAAUGUUAUUAAAAUGAA